Molecule: RNA transcript, 4244 nt
Organism: Equus caballus (horse)
Lineage: Eukaryota; Metazoa; Chordata; Mammalia; Perissodactyla; Equidae
Gene: WDR27
Gene name: WD repeat domain 27
Source: RefSeq, a predicted model, not a curated record
CGGGGCGGGGCGCAGGCCCUACGCUCUCGGAUGCUCACCUGACUGCGCAUCCGCCUCGCAGGUCCCCAGGUGAGAGGCAGGAGCGCCCGAAGGAGCCUAGUCAGGGCACCUGUUCCCUGUCCUGUGUUCACCUGACUGAGCGUCCACCUCGCAGGUCCCCAGGUUGAGGAUGGAAGAACCACAAGAGAUUUCCUCCACCAAUGACAGCUGUGUAGGUGACAUAGUCAUAGAAAAAUACCUGGUUGAGUCGAAGGAGGCCGCAUCCCACGUGCAGCUUGCUUGCAGUGUGCAGCACUGUGCCUUCCCGUUAGAUGGAAACCAGCUUUGCAUAUGGAACACCGAGGACCCUUCUCACCAGCGUCUAAUCCUCAGAGGGCACCAGCAGCCAAUUACUGCUGUGGCGUUUGGAAACACAGCGAAUCCGCUUCUAAUCUGUUCCGCAUCACAAGACUGUGUUAUAAUGUGGAAACUGGAUGAAUGCAGAGAGAAAGUGCUUGAAGGGCUGACUCCUCGAGGGACGGUCAUGCGCACCCUUCUGGGGAAGGUGCUCUGUUUAAGGUUUUGUCCGGAUGAUCGGGUGGUUGCGGCAUGUGCCGGAAACAAAAUACUGGUGCUGGAUGUGGAGAGCCUGUCCACAUCAGCCGAGCUGGAGGGCCACCGGGGCCCUGUGACUGCCGCUGAGUUCUGUGCUUGGCGAGCACGAGUGCUCGUCUCGGUGUCUGAGGACAGAAGCUUUAAGGUUUGGGACCAUCGUCUGGGAUCAUUAAUAUACAGCUCAUCAGUGUUAACAGGUUCUCACGCCGUCAGUGACUCGCGGAGCCGUUUGGGUGAAUGCGCCAGGCUCUCUGCUUGGGCGGCCAUGUGUGAGCCUUGGUCCUCCUCACAGGUCAUGAGCGACACCUCCCGGGGCUUUUCAUGUGCCUCCCCUCUCCUGAGUCUGUUCAUUGAUGAAGACAGUCGGCAGCUGGUUACGGGGUCUGCCGAUGGCCAGCUUUGGAUCUUCAGUUUGGGUGAAAGUCAUCAUUAUCGUUGUGUGACACAUGUGGACCUGAAGAAAAAGACCGAGAGUUUCUCCACCAGGAGGGUUGAGUCCCAGCUCUGCAGCCUGCCAGAAGAGAGUCAGCUUCCCUCUACAGAUGGACUGGAGAGAGGAGGAGAGAUUGAAGUAGAACUUCCUGUCCUGAGUCUGGCACCCUGUGCUCUCUCGCUUGUCCCGAGUUCUGAACGUGGGUUUGUUUCUUCUGAGAAUGCCAGCUGCUUGUGGAUCGGAAGCUCAGCUGGUUUGUUCAUACUUAACUUGGCAAACUUUGAACUGGAAGCAGUUUUACGUUACAAGGAUUUUAGGAACCUCAGCAUUCAAGUUGCUGGAUCGUGUGCAGUGAUGGGCAAAACCGGGAAUCACAUGGCCUUCUGCUUGCUCACGUCCUUGUUCGGAAGUCAGGUCGCCGUGUUGGAGAUCCGCCUGGCCUGUCUGGUGAGGUCUCUGCCGCGCCCCAACGUUGGGAAGGAUCUCUCAGUGCUGCCUCGCUCUGGUGUCUUACCGACCUCUCCACUCUACUUUGCUCUUGUUGAGGAAAAAAGUACCAAGCCGGCUAGUCAAAAACAAUCGGCCGUGCGGAGUGUCGUAAAGGACCAGCCCCUGGUUUUCCACAGCAGAGUCAGGUCCUCUGGGUACACGUCUGCCCCGCAUGUAACCAUGUUUUUACCAAAGACUAAUAUCAAGAAUAAUGGUAAAAGAUCUUCAAAAUGCAAGAACAAUUACAAAUGUAAGGAGUACCCCUCAGAGAGCCCUCUGCCAACCAGACUCAGCAAGCAGCUCGCUGUAGCCAGCGACCCCACAGCCGUGUGCUGCCUUCAGUUUUCAGAUGAUGGACGGCGGCUGGCCUGUGGCCUAGCCAACCACUUGUCACUGGUCUUUGAUGCCGAUCUUUCCGGGAAACCUGCUGUUUUUUCAGGUCAUGACGGGGCAGUGAGCACCGUGUGCUGGAGCCACGACGGCAGGUGGCUGCUGUCCACGUCCCAGGACGGGACGCUGAGGGUGUGGUCGGCUCGCAGGACGGAACUCGCCUUGUGUCUGGGUGAAGGCAUGUUUCCUAGGCCCGUACAAUCCGCACAGUUUUACUACAUAGACGCCUUCAUAUUGUCGUCGUCCGGCCCUGAAUUCCAGCUGCUCAAGUACCACGUGGACACCUGCAACGACGACCUGAGAAGAUAUAAACAGAAGAGCAGGUGCAAAGCCGUGUUCAGCCUCCGCAUGACGGAUGCCGUGGAGAUGACCAGCUUCUCGGCAGUAAAUGACUUCUACUCCUACAUCGUGCUGACCGCUGGCCGGAACAGGACGUUGGAAGUUUUCGACCUCAACGUGGGCCGCAGUGCCGCCCUGAUAGCAGGAGCCCAUUCGCGGCCUGUCCACCAGAUCUGUCAAAAUAAAGGAUCGUCAUUUAUGAGCCAGCAGUCUCAGGUCUAUAAUCUUUUUGCAACUACCGCCGUUGGUGAUGGGAUGAGACUGUGGGACUUGCGGACCCUGAGGUGUGAGCGCCGUUUUGAAGGUCAUCCGAGCCGCGGCUAUCCAUGCCGGAUUGCUUUUAGCCCCUGUGGACGAUACGUGGCCUGUGGUGCUGAGGACAGACACGUGUACGUGUAUGAAAUGGGCUCCAGCACCUUUUCUCACAGGCUGGCAGGACACACGGACACAGUCACGGCAGUGGCCUUCAACCCGUCCGCCCCACAGGUCCUGUUGAGGUCACUCUUGCCCAGGAAACUGUCUCUGUGUCCUCCGUCCGGACUCACCGCGUCCUCUUCGUGGUCCGCGCACCUGUCACAGGCCUGACACUGUCACGGCACCGAUCUCGUGGGACCCCGAUGAUCAUUUCAAGUCCUGUCUCCAUUCCACUGACCCCAUCAGAGGCAGCAAGUAUUUCUUAUCGGUCUCGGCAGCUCCAGCACGGAGGACAGAGUUCAGAAGAUCUUAGAUGUUUGAAGGACGUCCGUGGAGCUUUUGGAAAUGAAGGCUGCCCACUCGCUUGGUCCCGCAUUUCUCUACUGCUGAGCCUCCAACCCAAGGACCUCCUCUGACUUUAAUCGCCAAUUCGAGAAACACUGUCUUCGCUGAAGUCUUUCGCGUGGAAACUUUAGAGCUGUAAAAUCUUAGGGAUUAGAUGCAUUGGCCUCUGUGUUUUAGAUGAAGAAGCCAACCCUUUGAAAGGAUAAGUCAAUUUGCUAAGUUACAGAACUAAUUAAAAGCAGAUUUUGGGACUAAAACUCAAUUUUCCCAACUUGCAGUCCAAACACUCUCCUUGGUCUUAACUAUUUGAAAUUACUUUUUAAUCGUGUAUCUUCAUCUUUGCUAGAAUGCCUCUUUCCAGCUCAUGCUGAAUCGUGCCCUGAAGCCGUGUGCUCCACUGGACUGCUGUGUAUCUUUAGGGCAGCUUAGGAUCAAAGCCCUUUCUGGUGAUAUAAACCCACAGUUUUCAGAAGUUUCUCUCCAACUCAGCCAUAAGCAAUUUCUUUCUCCUGGACUGUAGUAAAUAAUUAAAAUUUCCCUGUUCCUUUUAUCUUUUCUUUCCUUCUCUCUGAUCUAAAGGAAAACAGAGGAUAUUACAUCUAAUCAUGACCGGAAGCGAAAGCAUUUCCGCAUUAGCAAUGCGAAUCCCUGGAUUUGUCUCAUCAGAAGAAAUUGUCCCAACCUUUACUUUUUGUGUAUGUAUUUGUCUUUUGUUGGUUUGGCAAAGCUUGUGCUUGUUACGACACUUGAUAAAGUACUCCAUUUGGACUCGGGCUGUUCCCCCAAAAUGCCAUGUUGUUUCAAAUGCUACUGAGAUCCAGGAUCCUGGGGAAUUUCCACGAACUGUUGAGCCAAAUUAGUAGACUAAUGCGGAAACAAGUAAUUGGUGGCCCACUUGUACUGUGCUUCCCCAGACACAGCGACUUACAGACUCAGGAGACGUCUGCCUUCUGUCAGGACCCAGCAUCACUUCCACCUGGUGGGUGCCAGCUCCCGGGUGACCAGAGGGCUCUUCCCUCUCCCCUCCCUGGUCUUCCUUCCUUCACCGAAAGACUCCUGGAAACACCACGUCAGGAAAUGUGUGUGUGAGAGCCUAUGAGCAUGCGCAUGUGUGCCUGUGAGUACAUGCAUGUGCAUGCCUACAAGCUUGAGUGUGCAAAUAUGUAUGUGUGUGCUUGUGAGUAUGAGUUUGAGAGUGUGUUUGUGUGAGUCUGUGCAUGUGUGUGAGCAUAUGCCUUGU